AUUCAAUUGUCAUGAACCAUAACAACUCAUGAAUACAUCAAUUCUAUAGCUCUGCAAAAAUCUGAAAUGUACAGAGGCUCAUGACUGGUCAGUAUAGCAUGGAUCAAACAGAAUCCACUGCAUAAGAACAAUUUACUCAGUAAUCAACAUGCAAGACUACAGUACCUAGCCCUCUACAAAAGGACUGUUUUUAACACACAGACCUCAUAAUGUAAACAACAAACACAUAGCAAACACCACAUUGUUGCUUGAAUCUUUUUCACAACAGUUCACUUGUGCUCAAGAACAACACAUUUGAUGAUCACUUCACCAGACCUUCAUUCAUAAGGCUGUAUUUUAAGGAGACAAACAACACAUAUAUAAAUGUAUAUCAAUAACACUGUUUUGUAUAAUGUGUAAUGCAGAUAUGUAACCUUAUUAACCACUUCCAAAAAAAAAUGUGAUAUAUAAAAUUGUUCUAAUUUCUUUUAUAAAACUCUGAAGGAUAAACAUAAAAGUCAAAUGCAAUAUGUGUAAAUGUGGCAACAAUGGCCCACCUACCACAAAAAUAAAUUUAAUUUGGGUCUAGAA
This is a long non-coding RNA of Zootermopsis nevadensis, 570 nucleotides long. RefSeq lists it as uncharacterized. The record is from RefSeq and is a predicted model, not a curated record. Lineage: Eukaryota; Metazoa; Arthropoda; Insecta; Blattodea; Termopsidae.